Molecule: ribosomal RNA, 165 nt
Filed under: Iris minutoaurea
Lineage: Eukaryota; Viridiplantae; Streptophyta; Magnoliopsida; Asparagales; Iridaceae
Description: 5.8S ribosomal RNA
Rfam family: 5.8S ribosomal RNA
About the family: 5.8S ribosomal RNA (5.8S rRNA) is a component of the large subunit of the eukaryotic ribosome. It is transcribed by RNA polymerase I as part of the 45S precursor that also contains 18S and 28S rRNA.
Source: RNAcentral
UGUACGACUCUCGACAACGGAUAUCUAGGCUCUCGUACCGAUGAAGAACGUAGCAAAAUGCGAUACUUGGUUGUGAAUUACAGAAUCUCGUGAACCAUCGAGUCUUUGAACGCAAGUUGCGCCCGAGGCCUUCUGGCCGAGGGUAUGCCUGCCUUGGCGUCAAAC